Molecule: unclassified non-coding RNA, 652 nt
Filed under: Maudiozyma humilis
Lineage: Eukaryota; Fungi; Ascomycota; Saccharomycetes; Saccharomycetales; Saccharomycetaceae
Description: Kazachstania humilis sequence contains ITS1, 5.8S rRNA gene and ITS2
Rfam family: 5.8S ribosomal RNA (bases 222-375)
Source: RNAcentral
CGUAACAAGGUUUCCGUAGGUGAACCUGCGGAAGGAUCAUUAAAGAAAUGAUUGGGGGAGCCCGCCUGCGCUUAGCUGCGCGGUGGCGCUCCGCCUCUUACACACAGUGGAGUAAUUACUUAUUCUUGGGCUGGGCGAAAGUCCAGCUCGCCAAACACAAACAACUAUUUUCUAUUAUACAGUGUCAUCAAAUCUGCUUACGCAGUAACCAAAAUAUUCAAAACUUUCAACAACGGAUCUCUUGGUUCUCGCAUCGAUGAAGAACGCAGCGAAAUGCGAUACGUAAUGUGAAUUGCAGAAUUCCGUGAAUCAUCGAAUCUUUGAACGCACAUUGCGCCCCUUGGUAUUCCAGGGGGCAUGCCUGUUUGAGCGUCAUUUCCUUCUCAAGCACCUGUGCUUGGUUGUGGGUGACACUCUCUCGAGUUAGCUUGAAAUUGCUGGCCGCACUGCGGUGGAGCAGUUGGCUUGUCUGUCGUGCGCGGUGCCUCGGCGCCGGGCGUGGCUGGCAUGCGAUUGUCGUACUAGGUUUUACCAAUUCGGCAGGAGCGUGCUGGGCAGAGAGACAAUACAACCGCCCUCCCUCUGGCUAACAGUACUCUUUAAGUUUGACCUCAAAUCAGGUAGGAAUACCCGCUGAACUUAAGCAUAUCAA